UAGCUCAGUUGGUAGAGUGCUUGCCUUGCAGGCAUAAGGCCCUGGGUUCAAUCCCCAG
Molecule: transfer RNA, 58 nt
Filed under: Ictidomys tridecemlineatus (thirteen-lined ground squirrel)
Lineage: Eukaryota; Metazoa; Chordata; Mammalia; Rodentia; Sciuridae
Description: Spermophilus tridecemlineatus (thirteen-lined ground squirrel) tRNA
Rfam family: tRNA
About the family: Transfer RNA (tRNA) molecules are approximately 80 nucleotides in length. Their secondary structure includes four short double-helical elements and three loops (D, anti-codon, and T loops).
Source: Rfam by way of RNAcentral